Molecule: ribosomal RNA, 253 nt
Filed under: uncultured bacterium
Lineage: Bacteria
Description: partial 16S ribosomal RNA
Rfam family: Bacterial small subunit ribosomal RNA
Source: RNAcentral
UACGUAGGGGGCAAGCGUUAUCCGGAUUUACUGGGUGUAAAGGGAGCGUAGACGGCUAGGCAAGUCUGGUGUGAAAACCCGGGGCUCAACUCCGGGAUUGCAUUGGAAACUGUCUAGCUAGAGUGCAGGAGAGGUAAGUGGAAUUCCUAGUGUAGCGGUGAAAUGCGUAGAUAUUAGGAGGAACACCAGUGGCGAAGGCGGCUUACUGGACUGUAACUGACGUUGAGGCUCGAAAGCGUGGGGAGCAAACAGG